UUCCGUAGGUGAACCAGCGGAGGGAUCAUUACUGAGUUACCGCUCUAUAACCCUAUGUGAACAUACCUUCAACUGUUGCUUCGGCGGGUAGGCCGUUCCCCUGAAAAGGACGCCUCCCGGCCGCCGGCCCGGAACCCCCGCUCGCGGGGGGCCCGGCAGCGGGGCGCCCGCCGGAGGAUAACCAAACUCUGAUUUAACGACGUUUCUUCUGAGUGACACAAGCAAAAUAAUCAAAACUUUUAACAACGGAUCUCUUGGUUCUGGCAUCGAUGAAGAACGCAGCGAAAUGCGAUAAGUAAUGUGAAUUGCAGAAUUCAGUGAAUCAUCGAAUCUUUGAACGCACAUUGCGCCCGCCAGCAUUCUGGCGGGCAUGCCUGUCCGAGCGUCAUUUCAACCCUCAAGCACCGCUUGGCGUUGGGGCCCUACGGCUUCCCCGUAGGCCCUCAAAGGUAGUGGCGGACCCUCCCGGAGCCUCCUUCGCGUAGUAACAUUCUCGUCUCGCACUGGGAUCCGGAGGGACUCUGGCCGUUAAACCCCCCAAAUCUAUAAGGUUGACCUCGGAUCAGGUAGGAAUACCCGCUGAACUUAAGCAUAUCAAUAAGCGGGAGGA
Molecule: ribosomal RNA, 610 nt
Filed under: Colletotrichum sansevieriae
Lineage: Eukaryota; Fungi; Ascomycota; Sordariomycetes; Glomerellales; Glomerellaceae
Description: eukaryotic LSU rRNA
Rfam family: 5.8S ribosomal RNA (bases 235-388)
Source: RNAcentral